UACGGGAGGCAGCAGUGGGGAAUCUUGGACAAUGGGCGCAAGCCUGAUCCAGCCAUGCCGCGUGUGUGAAGAAGGCCUUCGGGUUGUAAAGCACUUUAAGUUGGGAGGAAGGGCAGUAAGUUAAUACCUUGCUGUUUUGACGUUACCAACAGAAUAAGCACCGGCUAACUUCGUGCCAGCAGCCGCGGUAAU
This 192-nucleotide ribosomal RNA is filed under the name uncultured bacterium. Its description in RNAcentral is "partial 16S ribosomal RNA". It matches the Rfam family "Bacterial small subunit ribosomal RNA", at positions 340 to 524 of the family's 1533-position model. The record is from RNAcentral.